GGGGGCGUAGCUCAGUUGGGAGAGCGCUUGAAUGGCAUUCAAGAGGUCAGCGGUUCGAUCCCGCUCGUCUCCA
Molecule: transfer RNA, 73 nt
Filed under: Gemmatimonas sp.
Lineage: Bacteria; Pseudomonadati; Gemmatimonadota; Gemmatimonadia; Gemmatimonadales; Gemmatimonadaceae
Also listed under: 3 other names
Description: tRNA-Ala
Rfam family: tRNA
About the family: Transfer RNA (tRNA) molecules are approximately 80 nucleotides in length. Their secondary structure includes four short double-helical elements and three loops (D, anti-codon, and T loops).
Source: RNAcentral